CCUACGGAGGCAGCAGUGAGGAAUAUUGGGCAAUGGCCGGAAGGCUGACCCAGCAAUGCCGCGUGGAGGACGAAGGCUUUCGGGUUGUAAACUCCUUUUCUGGGGGACGAGGAAGGACGGUACCCUAGGAAUAAGUCACGGCUAACUACGUGCCAGCAGCCGCGGUAAUA
Molecule: ribosomal RNA, 170 nt
Filed under: uncultured Bacillota bacterium
Lineage: Bacteria; Bacillati; Bacillota
Description: uncultured Firmicutes bacterium partial 16S ribosomal RNA
Rfam family: Bacterial small subunit ribosomal RNA
Source: RNAcentral